RNAcentral lists this long non-coding RNA (1310 nucleotides) under Nicotiana tabacum (common tobacco). RNAcentral's name for it is "long non-coding RNA (NTAB_LNC011275)". The record is from RNAcentral. Lineage: Eukaryota; Viridiplantae; Streptophyta; Magnoliopsida; Solanales; Solanaceae.
ACUGGAGGGAGUAAAUUAGUAGUAAUAAUAAAUUUCUGAAAAUAAAGGAACACAUAAAAAAGGGAUUCUCUCUCUAGCCUAGGGCUAUCGGCGCAAGUUAAGCAAACGUACGCCGACGGCGGCGGCCAUGGCCAGAGGGCGAGGACGAUCGAAGAAACAAGCUAUUGUAACAGUGGAGAGCUCAGUCAGUGCUAGGGUGAUAGCUGAAACCCUAGAAAAUGGUAGCGAACAACGAGUAAUUACACCUUUGGCAGCCCAAUUUCCAUCUGUCUCCGCUGAUCUCGGCAAACAAUUACACCUUUGGCAGCCCAAUUUUCAUCUCUGUCUCCGCUGAUCUCGGCAAACAAAACGACUACCGGAGCUAAAAAAAUUAAAUUUAAGCGGACCACUGCAGCUGCAAUUGACAGAAAUUAAUGAGCAACAACAAUCAACGCAGCUCAAACAAUCAGAAUUGAGGAAAUCUGAGCAGGCAGCAAAGGGCCAAGCUCCAGAUCCCACUUGGUCUGGGUUAUUCACUCAGAAUCGUGCAACAACUAACGAUAUGUCUCUAGAUUACAUACCACCAAAAUUGGUUGAAGGAAGUCUAAUGGUCAAGCUUGAUAAGGAAGAAACAAAUAGGGAAACUGAUAAAUGAAAGAUUGUUUUAGUAGUAUAUGUGAUAGGUGAAACUCCAGGCUAUAACUAUAUGAAACAAUAUGUGACUCAAAAUUGGAAUAUGGUGACAGAACCUGAGGUGUAUUAUCAUGAAGAAGGCUAUUAUAUUGUUAAAUUCCAAUCGAUAGCAGAUCUGAAUGAAGUACAAUAUGCAGGCCCAUAUAUCAUUAACAACAAAUCUAUGCUAUUUAAAAAAUGAUGCCUAAAGUUUGAUUUUAAUGCUGAGUUCCCUACGGAGUUACCUUUGUGGGUUAUAUUUCCUAGCCUACCUAUGAGUUGCUGGAGCCGAGAUUCUUUGAGCAGGAUAGCAAUGCACUGGCCUUAAUCAACCAAUAUGCUGCAAAGCAUUAAUUGAUAAGCUCUGUUUAUGUUUACUGAUGAGUGUUUGUCCUUUCCUUUUUCUUUAUUUGGGGGUUGGGGUUGGGUGAGGGUUUAUGGGAGUUGUUUGUAAGCCGUAUCAGUAAUUCAGAGAAUGUAAUGCACAUAUUAUAAUGUGAUAAUUUUUGUUGGAUAUUUUGCUUUGCUGUAUUAAAAUUAAUACUUAUUUUGUUUCAUUUUGUGUGACAAUAUUUUAUUUUUUAAUAAGCCAUAUUAAGAAAAUAAAUUAUUUUUUAAUUUGAAAUAAUAUAACUUUGAAUUAUUCAUUUCAUUUUUAA